Long non-coding RNA from Mauremys reevesii (Reeves's turtle), 752 nucleotides. RefSeq lists it as uncharacterized. The record is from RefSeq and is a predicted model, not a curated record. Lineage: Eukaryota; Metazoa; Chordata; Testudines; Geoemydidae. The transcript is spliced from 4 exons.
UCUAUCAUCCUUACAGAUCCAACUGGAGUGCAAGAAGCUGGUCAGGAAAAUGGAGAGCUUCUACCAUUCCCACCAUAUUUUUAUCCCUGUCUGGAAAGUGUGUCCUAUUCCCAGAAGGGUUAGGUGAAAAGUGGAGUUAAAUAUCUGUGGGUAAUAAGGAACAUUUUCCUGGCCAGAGUCUGUACUGAUUUCGUUCUUUUUUUUUUUUUUUUUUGGAUGGGGGAGAUGAACCAGUAAGAUCUGGGUCAGAGACUGGGAUGUACAUAUGCUUCUCAAUUUUGUACCUGCAACAUGUAUCAGAGCUGCAUACUGCUGUGGUAUAGCUGUGAACAGAAGAGCCAGAAUAAAGGAAAACAGUGAGGGAGACCGACUGAGCCAACUUUCUGUCAGUCUUUCAUGCUGAUUAUAAGUCUCACACUGCGCAGUUACCCCUUGGAGUAUUUUACAAAAGAUUGAAAAUUCUGUUGAAAAGCAUUCUCCGUACCUGAGAAGACAAAGGAAACAGCCAUUGGACUCUUGGGGAGGGGUCCUGACUUAUAGAGAUGAGGAGCUGAGGCACAGAGACAUUAAAUGAUUUGGUCAAGGACACGCAGGGAGUCUGUGGUAUGGCCAGGAAAUCAAGUACAAUUCCCCUGAAUCCCAGCCCUGUGCCUUAACUGCAUGACCAUCCUCAGCACUGCCAACUCCAAAUGUUCCAAAAUCAUGAGACUGGCUUAAAAAUCAUAAGAUUAAAAUAAAAUAAAUGCAUUUUG